Molecule: ribosomal RNA, 2926 nt
Filed under: Escherichia coli
Lineage: Bacteria; Pseudomonadati; Pseudomonadota; Gammaproteobacteria; Enterobacterales; Enterobacteriaceae
Description: bacterial LSU rRNA
Rfam family: Bacterial large subunit ribosomal RNA
Source: RNAcentral
GGGUUGUGAGGUUAAGCGACUAAGCGUACACGGUGGAUGCCCUGGCAGUCAGAGGCGAUGAAGGACGUGCUAAUCUGCGAUAAGCGUCGGUAAGGUGAUAUGAACCGUUAUAACCGGCGAUUUCCGAAUGGGGAAACCCAGUGUGUUUCGACACACUAUCAUUAACUGAAUCCAUAGGUUAAUGAGGCGAACCGGGGGAACUGAAACAUCUAAGUACCCCGAGGAAAAGAAAUCAACCGAGAUUCCCCCAGUAGCGGCGAGCGAACGGGGAGCAGCCCAGAGCCUGAAUCAGUGUGUGUGUUAGUGGAAGCGUCUGGAAAGGCGCGCGAUACAGGGUGACAGCCCCGUACACAAAAAUGCACAUGCUGUGAGCUCGAUGAGUAGGGCGGGACACGUGGUAUCCUGUCUGAAUAUGGGGGGACCAUCCUCCAAGGCUAAAUACUCCUGACUGACCGAUAGUGAACCAGUACCGUGAGGGAAAGGCGAAAAGAACCCCGGCGAGGGGAGUGAAAAAGAACCUGAAACCGUGUACGUACAAGCAGUGGGAGCCUCUUUAUGGGGUGACUGCGUACCUUUUGUAUAAUGGGUCAGCGACUUAUAUUCUGUAGCAAGGUUAACCGAAUAGGGGAGCCGAAGGGAAACCGAGUCUUAACUGGGCGUUAAGUUGCAGGGUAUAGACCCGAAACCCGGUGAUCUAGCCAUGGGCAGGUUGAAGGUUGGGUAACACUAACUGGAGGACCGAACCGACUAAUGUUGAAAAAUUAGCGGAUGACUUGUGGCUGGGGGUGAAAGGCCAAUCAAACCGGGAGAUAGCUGGUUCUCCCCGAAAGCUAUUUAGGUAGCGCCUCGUGAAUUCAUCUCCGGGGGUAGAGCACUGUUUCGGCAAGGGGGUCAUCCCGACUUACCAACCCGAUGCAAACUGCGAAUACCGGAGAAUGUUAUCACGGGAGACACACGGCGGGUGCUAACGUCCGUCGUGAAGAGGGAAACAACCCAGACCGCCAGCUAAGGUCCCAAAGUCAUGGUUAAGUGGGAAACGAUGUGGGAAGGCCCAGACAGCCAGGAUGUUGGCUUAGAAGCAGCCAUCAUUUAAAGAAAGCGUAAUAGCUCACUGGUCGAGUCGGCCUGCGCGGAAGAUGUAACGGGGCUAAACCAUGCACCGAAGCUGCGGCAGCGACGCUUAUGCGUUGUUGGGUAGGGGAGCGUUCUGUAAGCCUGUGAAGGUGUGCUGUGAGGCAUGCUGGAGGUAUCAGAAGUGCGAAUGCUGACAUAAGUAACGAUAAAGCGGGUGAAAAGCCCGCUCGCCGGAAGACCAAGGGUUCCUGUCCAACGUUAAUCGGGGCAGGGUGAGUCGACCCCUAAGGCGAGGCCGAAAGGCGUAGUCGAUGGGAAACAGGUUAAUAUUCCUGUACUUGGUGUUACUGCGAAGGGGGGACGGAGAAGGCUAUGUUGGCCGGGCGACGGUUGUCCCGGUUUAAGCGUGUAGGCUGGUUUUCCAGGCAAAUCCGGAAAAUCAAGGCUGAGGCGUGAUGACGAGGCACUACGGUGCUGAAGCAACAAAUGCCCUGCUUCCAGGAAAAGCCUCUAAGCAUCAGGUAACAUCAAAUCGUACCCCAAACCGACACAGGUGGUCAGGUAGAGAAUACCAAGGCGCUUGAGAGAACUCGGGUGAAGGAACUAGGCAAAAUGGUGCCGUAACUUCGGGAGAAGGCACGCUGAUAUGUAGGUGAAGUCCCUCGCGGAUGGAGCUGAAAUCAGUCGAAGAUACCAGCUGGCUGCAACUGUUUAUUAAAAACACAGCACUGUGCAAACACGAAAGUGGACGUAUACGGUGUGACGCCUGCCCGGUGCCGGAAGGUUAAUUGAUGGGGUUAGCGGUAACGCGAAGCUCUUGAUCGAAGCCCCGGUAAACGGCGGCCGUAACUAUAACGGUCCUAAGGUAGCGAAAUUCCUUGUCGGGUAAGUUCCGACCUGCACGAAUGGCGUAAUGAUGGCCAGGCUGUCUCCACCCGAGACUCAGUGAAAUUGAACUCGCUGUGAAGAUGCAGUGUACCCGCGGCAAGACGGAAAGACCCCGUGAACCUUUACUAUAGCUUGACACUGAACAUUGAGCCUUGAUGUGUAGGAUAGGUGGGAGGCUUUGAAGUGUGGACGCCAGUCUGCAUGGAGCCGACCUUGAAAUACCACCCUUUAAUGUUUGAUGUUCUAACGUUGACCCCUAAUCGGGGUUGCGGACAGUGUCUGGUGGGUAGUUUGACUGGGGCGGUCUCCUCCUAAAGAGUAACGGAGGAGCACGAAGGUUGGCUAAUCCUGGUCGGACAUCAGGAGGUUAGUGCAAUGGCAUAAGCCAGCUUGACUGCGAGCGUGACGGCGCGAGCAGGUGCGAAAGCAGGUCAUAGUGAUCCGGUGGUUCUGAAUGGAAGGGCCAUCGCUCAACGGAUAAAAGGUACUCCGGGGAUAACAGGCUGAUACCGCCCAAGAGUUCAUAUCGACGGCGGUGUUUGGCACCUCGAUGUCGGCUCAUCACAUCCUGGGGCUGAAGUAGGUCCCAAGGGUAUGGCUGUUCGCCAUUUAAAGUGGUACGCGAGCUGGGUUUAGAACGUCGUGAGACAGUUCGGUCCCUAUCUGCCGUGGGCGCUGGAGAACUGAGGGGGGCUGCUCCUAGUACGAGAGGACCGGAGUGGACGCAUCACUGGUGUUCGGGUUGUCAUGCCAAUGGCACUGCCCGGUAGCUAAAUGCGGAAGAGAUAAGUGCUGAAAGCAUCUAAGCACGAAACUUGCCCCGAGAUGAGUUCUCCCUGACUCCUUGAGAGUCCUGAAGGAACGUUGAAGACGACGACGUUGAUAGGCCGGGUGUGUAAGCGCAGCGAUGCGUUGAGCUAACCGGUACUAAUGAACCGUGAGGCUUAACCUUACAACGCCGAAG